This 776-nucleotide ribosomal RNA is filed under the name uncultured Neocallimastigales. RNAcentral's name for it is "partial large subunit ribosomal RNA". It matches the Rfam family "Eukaryotic large subunit ribosomal RNA", at positions 24 to 639 of the family's 3401-position model. Lineage: Eukaryota; Fungi; Neocallimastigomycota; Neocallimastigomycetes; Neocallimastigales. The record is from RNAcentral.
UUAUGUGAUCGUCUCUCGCAUAUCAAUAAGCGGAGGAAAAGAAACUAACAAGGAUUCCCCUAGUAACGGCGAGUGAAGCGGGAAGAGCUCAAAUUUGAAAUCUUAAAGGGUUUCCCUUUACGAAUUGUAGUUUAAAGAAGUGUUUUCUGUUGAGGUUUUGGUAAAAGUUCUUUGGAAUAGGACAUCAUAGGAGGGUGAGAAUCCCGUAUUUGACCUUUACUUUCAACUUUGUGAUACACUUUCAAAGAGUCGGAUUGUUUGGGUAUGCAGUCCAAAAUGGGUGGUAAAUUUCAUCUAAAGCUAAAUAUUGGCGAGAGACCGAUAGCGAACAAGUACCGUGAGGGAAAGAUGAAAAGAACUUUGAAAAGAGAGUUAAACAGUUCGUGAAAUUGUCAAAAGGGAAGCGUUUGACACCAGUGUUGUUUUUCUGAAAAUCAAUUAAAGAACUGUUUAUGCUAAGCUGUUUAGACUUUAUCAGCUAACUGUUUAGUUUUGAGCUUUUCUUUAAUGCACUUUUCAGUUAACAAGUCAACAUCAAUUUCUUUUGCUGUAAAAAAGCUUGAGGAAGGUGGCUUGAGAUUCGUCUUAAGUGUUUAUAGCCUCUUGCCUAUGCAGUCGGAGAGAUUGAGGUCUGCAGCGUAGAUCCUUCGGGGCUAAAUGCAUUUGUGCUAAGUUAUAGCAUUUUAUAGACAACUUGUUGACUAUGAUUUGUCUUGUAGCUUACUCGCUUAUGUUAUUUUACCUACGCUUAGGAUGUUGACGCGCGUGUGUGCGUG